AGGCAAAGCUCCUCUUCAGUAAA
RNAcentral lists this microRNA (23 nucleotides) under Parasteatoda tepidariorum (common house spider). RNAcentral's name for it is "pte-miR-11950-5p". The record is from miRBase by way of RNAcentral. Lineage: Eukaryota; Metazoa; Arthropoda; Arachnida; Araneae; Theridiidae.